CCGGCAACGGAUAUCUCGGCUCUCGCAUCGAUGAAGAACGUAGCGAAAUGCGAUACGUGGUGUGAAUUGCAGAAUCCCGUGAACCAUCGAGUCUUUGAACGCAAGUUGCGCCCGAGGGACCAUCCCGAGGGCACGC
RNAcentral lists this ribosomal RNA (136 nucleotides) under Bulbostylis hispidula. Its description in RNAcentral is "5.8S ribosomal RNA". It matches the Rfam family "5.8S ribosomal RNA", at positions 9 to 140 of the family's 154-position model. Rfam says of the family: 5.8S ribosomal RNA (5.8S rRNA) is a component of the large subunit of the eukaryotic ribosome. It is transcribed by RNA polymerase I as part of the 45S precursor that also contains 18S and 28S rRNA. Functionally, it is thought that 5.8S rRNA may be involved in ribosome translocation. RNAcentral also lists the same sequence under 33 other names. The record is from RNAcentral. Lineage: Eukaryota; Viridiplantae; Streptophyta; Magnoliopsida; Poales; Cyperaceae.